GAUGAACGCUGGCGGCGUGCCUAAUACAUGCAAGUCGAGCGAACGGACGAGAAGCUUGCUUCUCUGAUGUUAGCGGCGGACGGGUGAGUAACACGUGGAUAACCUACCUAUAAGACUGGGAUAACUUCGGGAAACCGGAGCUAAUGCCGGAUAAUAUUUUGAACCGCAUGGUUCAAAAGUGAAAGACGGUCUUGCUGUCACUUAUAGAUGGAUCCGCGCUGCAUUAGCUAGUUGGUAAGGUAACGGCUUACCAAGGCAACGAUGCAUAGCCGACCUGAGAGGGUGAUCGGCCACACUGGAACUGAGACACGGUCCAGACUCCUACGGGAGGCAGCAUUAGGGAAUCUUCCGCAAUGGGCGAAAGCCUGACGGAGCAACGCCGCGUGAGUGAUGAAGGUCUUCGGAUCGUAAAACUCUGUUAUUAGGGAAGAACAUAUGUGUAAGUAACUGUGCACAUCUUGACGGUACCUAAUCAGAAAGCCACGGCUAACUACGUG
RNAcentral lists this ribosomal RNA (497 nucleotides) under uncultured bacterium. Its description in RNAcentral is "partial 16S ribosomal RNA". It matches the Rfam family "Bacterial small subunit ribosomal RNA", at positions 28 to 507 of the family's 1533-position model. The record is from RNAcentral.